Molecule: long non-coding RNA, 75 nt
Organism: Maniola jurtina (meadow brown)
Lineage: Eukaryota; Metazoa; Arthropoda; Insecta; Lepidoptera; Nymphalidae
Exons: 3
Source: RefSeq, a predicted model, not a curated record
ACACAAGUCAAUUUAGGUACGUCCAAUUCCGAUAAAAAGUUUAGCUGCUGAAUUCAACUCGGCUGGGCAGUGUUC